Aedes albopictus (Asian tiger mosquito) is the source of this 7281-nucleotide RNA transcript. RefSeq lists it as uncharacterized. NCBI's taxonomy places the organism in Eukaryota, Metazoa, Arthropoda, Insecta, Diptera, Culicidae. The transcript is spliced from 2 exons. The record is from RefSeq and is a predicted model, not a curated record.
AACCACUAAACGCACCACGGUUUCACGAAAAGUAGAUAGGCCACUCAGUUGCGAUAUGGUUGCUAUCGAGAAUGUGUUGGCGAACGCGACAGAUGAAAGGGGAAUAUGUCAGAUCAUAUGAGUCAGCAGAAUUGGAGAAGAAAUAGACCAGAUAGGAAUCGUACUCUAUAUCUAGUUGCAAAAUUAAAGCGUGAAUAAUAAGCCAUUGGCGAAUUUCAAUAGUCGUUUAAUCGUCAUAAGGUAUACCUAGUUUGCUAAUUUAAAUGCAGAGAUUAUGAUUAUUGUGAAUAUUGAAUUAUAGGUUGAAUUUCGCAACGAUACCUUGCAGGAUCGGAAUUAUUGUUUCUAUUAUAAAACCAUUUGGAAAACUUGUAAGUAAUCAUUUCGUUAUUAUUGCACAAUUGUGAGAUCUAAUUGAAUCUUAUUAUCUGGAUUAGGCUGAAACGUAGCGAAUAAUUGUCGACCAGAAGUAGGAUUGAUAGGAAAGGUCACCGGAAUUGUAAGAAUCAAUCAUAUAACCGAAAUGUACAUAACUAAUUAUUCUGGUUUUUUAGCUUUAAAGCAACGACAAAUAAAGACUGAAUUGCUAAAAGAUCCGUGAAUCCCGUAUUCCUACUUCGACGUGACAACAAAUCUUUAAAGAAUUCCGUCGAGACGUUGAUUGUGCACGGAUUUGGCAUCGAACCAACGAAGAGACAGUCGCGAUGGCAACAGGUGCGGAUUGGCAGAACUGCAUUGCCUGUAACAAGCCGGAUCGGGAAGAGAAUUUGGUAGCCUGUGAUGCCUGUAAGGAUCGGUACCAUUUCUCAUGUGCUUCGGUGGACGACGGCGUCCGCGAUAGAUGUUGGUCAUGCAGCAGAUGUGCCUCUGCGAUACUCGUGGAUGACGUGUCGAGAUCCGGUAAAUCCAGCAAGUCUGGUAAAAGCAGUCGGUCGUUGAGGAUUAAGCUUCAGCUAAUGAAGAUUGAGGAGGAGCGUAAGGCCGAAGAGAAGCUCAUGCUGCAACGGCAAGAGCUCGAAAGGGAGCGCCAGGAAAAGGCUUUACUCGAAAAAGCGUCAAUGGAGAAGAGGUACCGCGAAGAAAAGUACGCGCUGUUGAUGGCGGAAGCGAGCGAAGACGAUGGUGAAAGCGUCAAGAGCCGUAGGAGUCGAGUGAGUAGCAAGGACAAGGUCAAUAGGUGGAUAAAGGACCACGCAGGCAUUUUGGCUGAUGGAGACGGUCAGCCCGAUCCGGUUGUAAGGGAGCUUCCAGCGAAGCCGACGGAUGCGAAUGCGGAUGGCGCGAAAAAUCAUGAAACGCCACUAACAUCAUUGGGCGACAAAGUUGGUAAACCACUAGGCGCAGUAACGAAAGAGACCGUUUCGAUCAAACCGGCCACACAGACGUCGACUCCGACCCAGAAAGACCACGUGGGACCACCAGAAUCAUUUUUGCAGAUGCAAACGAUAGCCGAGCAACCAAACUCAAAGCUGGUUUUCGAUCAACCCCGUCAAUCGAUUUCCCAACCAGUUGUCAGAGGACUAACGGUACCUCGAGAGAUCCAGCAGCAGGUUCCGAUGCCGACAGUCUGGCCACCGAAUCACCAUUCUGGUUCGUUUCCGACGGAGCAACAACAACUGUAUCCGCAAAUCCAGAAUCCUGCGUUUGGCCCACGGCCCGAUCACCAGCGUGCACCAGCGAUGAAUCAUUCUCGACCGCCACCGGGGUUUCACCAUUCCACGAUUAAUCCAAACCAACUAAACGGUACGCAAUCGUUCCAACCCGAUCAAUCUCAAGCAGCGUGGGGUCAGUUUCAGCAGCAGCUCGCCGCCAGACAAGUGGUACCGAAGGAACUUCCGGUGUUUACCGGAAACCCGGAGGAUUGGCCAUUAUUCGUGAGCAGCUACCGGAACUCGACAGCGAUGUGCGGUUACUCAGAUGCGGAAAACCUCAUGAGGCUGCAGAGGUGCCUCCGAGGCAGCGCGUUGGAGGCUGUCCGCAGCAAUCUACUGCUGCCAUCGUCCGUUCCUCAAGUGCUGGCAACGUUAGAAACGCUUUUUGGCAGUCCAGACCGACUGCUGCAGACCAUGUUAAACAAGGUUCGUACUGUUCCGGCGCCAAAAGCAGACCGGUUGGAGACUUUGGUCAAUUUUGGCAUCACCGUUCAGAACCUGGUGGGGCAUCUGAAAGGCGCAAACCAACAGGCACAUCUGAUGAAUCCAUCGUUGCUGAGCGAACUGGUUGAAAAGCUACCGGCUAAUAUUCGAUUGGACUGGGCACUACACAAGCAGCGCGCUGGCUUUGUCGACUUGGGCACCUUCAGCGAGUAUAUGAUGGCGAUAACUUCCGCGGCCAGUGAUGUCACGCAGUUCAGCGACCACGAUGCCUAUCGAGCCAACCGCAUCGAGAGACAGCGUCCCAAGGAGAAGGCGUAUAUGAACACCCACUCUUCGGCAGAUGUUCGUAAGUCUGAUAGUUUUAGAGGUAAGCCAGAAAGUUUAGCAAGACCGUGCUAUAUUUGCCAAAGUCUAAAGCAUAGAAUAAGAGAUUGCUCUAGAUUUAAGACAUUGCCUAUGGGAGAUCGCUGGAAAGCAGUUAGUGAACACCAACUGUGUAAAAUUUGUUUGGUGCCGCACGGUAAGUGGCCAUGUAAAUCCAAUAAAGUGUGUGAAGUGGGGGGCUGUUCUAAGGGGCAUAACACGUUACUCCACCCGGGCCAUCCUGACGAGUUUCCACGCUCCGGAACCAGUGCGCCGGCAGUCGUUUCUGUGCAUCGCCAGCUUCAGAAUCCCAUUUUGUUCCGCAUUAUCCCAGUGACGCUCUAUGGGAAAGGGACGCAGAUAACAACCUUCGCCUUUCUGGAUGAGGGGUCAUCCUUGACUCUGAUGGACGCCGAUAUCGCGGAUCAACUGAACAUCAGCGGCGAAGUGCAUCCAUUGUGUCUUACAUGGACAGCGAACAUUGAGCGGCGGGAGGCAACAUCACGACAAGUUAGUCUGCAAAUCUCGGGUUCAUCGAACGACACCAAAUUCGUAUUGGGCGACGUUCGCACGGUGGAAGGCUUAGCUCUCCCAACGCAAACUCUUCAGUAUGGAGAACUAGCCAGACGGUACCCACACUUGGAAGGACUUCCGAUAAAGGACUACGAGCAAGCGGUUCCGAGGAUUUUGAUAGGCAUGGACAACGUUCAUUUGUCUGUUCCGUUGAGAAGAAGGGAACGAGGAACACGAGAACCAAUCGCAGCGAAGACAAGAUUAGGUUGGACGGUGUUCGGCUGCGUUGGUGAUCCUUCGAAAGUCUCUGUUUCACCUUCGUUUCACAUUUGCGAAUGCGUGGAGCUGAAUGGAAUCCAUCAGCUGGUUGAAAGUUUUUUCUCCGAGGAAUGUCUGGGUAUUGUAGCAGCACGUACGCUGGAAGGAAACGAAGAUCGCCGCGCAAGAGAGAUCCUAGAAACUACCACCGUACAGCGAGAAGAUGGGCGUUUUGAGACUGGUUUACUGUGGCGCAACGACGUCGUGGAGUUUCCUCCAAGCUACGCUAUGGCUGAAAGGAGACUAGCUUGCCUUCAUCGUCGACUGAAAGCCAACCCGGAGCUGCUAGCGAACCUGGAAACCCAAAUAGCUGAAUACCAGAUCAAAGGAUAUGCGCACAAGGCUACAAAGCAAGAGAUCGAAGAAUUCAAUCCCAAGCAGACAUGGUUUUUACCGUUAGGGGUUGUGACCAAUCCAAGAAAACCUGGAAAGGUCCGCAUGAUUUGGGACGCCGCUGCGAAAGUUAACGGCGUAUCGUUUAAUAGCAUGAUGUUGAAGGGGCCGGACCUGUUGACGCCGUUGCCGAAGGUAUUGUUUCAGUUUCGCCAGCGACAAAUUGCAGUUGUUGGAGAUGUGCGUGAAAUGUACCACCAGUUCUUCAUCCGUGACGCAGAUCGUUCCGCUCAAUGCUUCCUGUGGAGCCCGGAGCCCUCUCAACCGCCGGAAGUAUUCAUCAUGGAUGCAGCGACCUUCGGCUCCACCUGUUCUCCGUGUCAGGCACAGUUCAUUAAGAACAUGAAUGCGAAAAGCUGGGCGAAUGAAUUUCCGGAAGCAGCAGUAGCACUAGUAGAAAACCACUACGUGGAUGACUACUUAGAUAGCAGGGACACAGCGGAAGAAAUGGCAAAAGUGGCGACAGAUGUUCGAACGGUGCACGCGAAAGCACGGUUCGAAAUAAGAAAUUGGCAGUCGAAUUCGGGACAGGUGCUGGCGCAUCUUGGGGAACAGCAUACACCUCAAAGUAAGGAAUUCACUAGCGAUAAAGUUAGUCUCAUUGAACGUGUGCUAGGGAUGGCCUGGCUUCCCAAGGAAGAUGUAUUCACCUUCAGAAUAUCUGUGUCGGAGGAUCUGCAGCGAUUAGUAUCAGGAGAUUCAGUGCCUACGAAGAGGAAGAUCUUGCGGUUUAUUAUGAGCCUAUAUGAUCCGAUUGGACUUAUCUCUCAUGUGCUGAUACAUGGGAAAACCAUCAUACAAGAUCUGUGGAGAUGUGGAGUUGGAUGGGACGAUCCAAUCCCCGAAGAAGUCAACGAAACAUGGAGAAGAUUUGUCAGCGUGAUCAGCGAGCUGCAUCAGGUUCAAGUACCCCGCUGCUACUUUCCAGACUACGAAAAUGGCAUCUAUGAAACGUUGGAGCUGCACAUGUUUGUGGAUGCGAGCUUGUCUGCUAUGGCUUGUGCGGCUUUCUUCCGUGUAAUCGACCGUGGACAAACACGAUGUGCGUUGGUGGCUUCGAAAGCGAAGGUAGCUCCGUUGAAGCCGCUGUCAGUUCCGCGUUUAGAGUUGCAAGCGGCUGUUAUGGGAAGCCGCUUAAUGAAGACCAUUGCCGACAGUCAUUCGAUUAAAAUCCAGAGGAGAUUCAUCUGGACCGAUUCCAACACUGUUCUACUGUGGAUUCGGUCGGACGCUAGAAAGUACCGACAAUACGUUGCUGUGCGUGUAGGCGAAAUUCUGGACGAGACCAAUGUGCAGGAAUGGAGAUACGUGCCGUCGGGGCUAAAUGUGGCGGACGAUGCGACCAAAUGGAAGGGAGCUCCGGAUCUACGGCCAACCAACCGUUGGUUCUCUGGUCCAGAUUUUUUGUAUAAACCGGAGAAUCAGUGGCCACAGCAGAAAGUGCAGUACGUCGAAAUUCCAGAAGAAUUACGCGCAGUUCAUUUUCACCGAGAAAUUGCCCGUGUCAGCUUCAUCGACGUUCAACGGUUUUCUAAAUGGGAACGUCUCUUACGGUCGGCUUCGUUCAUCUUUAAGUUCAUUAGGCGAUGUCGCAACAUACCGGGAUCAUCUCAGAUGUCAGAAGGAUUGGAUCAGCAAGAUUUCCAACGUGCGGAAUGCGCGUUGUGGCGAUUGGCGCAAGAGGACGAAUACGCAGAAGAGCUGAAACAAAUAAGAGUUGAAAACGAAAGUGAAGUAAAAAGGAACAGUCCCUUAAGGAAGCUGUCUCCGUUUAUCGGCGAAAAUGGAGAACUUCGCUUGGGAGGUCGCAUCGGUGCUUCACCCUUCACUGCGUACGAUGCGAAGUAUCCAGUGAUCCUGCCGAAAGGACACCGUAUUACCGAACUUAUCAUCGACAGCUACCACAGAUUGUUUGGGCACCAGAACGGAGAAACUGUGGUAAACGAAUUGAGACAAAAAUAUUACAUCUCCAACAUGCGAGCGGAAGUGCGCAAGGCUGCUAAGCGUUGCCAAUGGUGCCGCACCUACAAAGUUCAACCGCAGAUUCCAAGGAUGGCGCCACUGCCGGUAGAGCGCGUGAUACCGUUUGUUAGACCGUUCACGAUGAUCGGGAUAGAUUAUUUUGGUCCUUAUUUGAUCAAAAUUGGCAGAAGUUUGGUGAAACGGUGGGUUGUCCUAUAUACUUGUCUCACUAUAAGGGCGGUCCACUUAGAGAUAGCAGCAUCCUUAUCAACCGAGUCGUGUAUGCUGGCGCUUCGUAGAUUCAUAGCCAGACGUGGAGCGCCGCAGCAGAUUUACACCGACAACGGGACCAACUUCGUCGGUACCGAAAGGGAGUUGGCGAGGCAAUUACAGGACGUGAACCAGAAGAUGUCUGAGAGCUUCACGAACGCAAAUACCAGGUGGAAUUUCAUUCCACCAGCCUCUCCGCACAUGGGCGGUGCGUGGGAGAGGAUGGUCAGGGCUGUAAAAACGGCUAUGAGCUCCAUGAACCACCCCCGGACUCCUACAGAGGAGGUGUUUCAGACCGUUUUAUGCGAAGCCGAGUCUAUGGUCAACUCGAGACCAUUAACAUACAUGCCGCUGGAAGGUUCGGAUCAAGAGGCUCUUACACCAAACCAUUUUCUCCUUCUGAAUUCAGUGGGAGUGACGCAGACUGAGAAAUCGUCGACGGAGGAAAGAGAAGCUCUACGCAGCAACUGGAAACUCUGUCAGCACAUUUUGGAUCAGUUCUGGCGCAGAUGGAUCCGUGAGUAUCUGCCUACAAUAACGCGAAGGACCAAAUGGUUUGCGGAAACGAAGAGGAUAGAAAUAGGUGAUGUAGUCUUCAUCGUAGACGGAAAUGUUAGAAAUCGCUGGACUCGAGGAGUGGUGACAGCAGUUUUUCCCGGAAAAGAUGGCCGAAUCAGGCAAGCAGAAGUGCGAACCAAUUCUGGAACACUUCGCAGAUCCGUCGCUAAACUGGCGGUUAUGGACGUCCUUUCAGAAGGUAAAGCUGAUGAACGGAGCAGCUUUACGGGGCCGGGAAUGUUGGAGUGAACCACUAAACGCACCACGGUUUCACGAAAAGUAGAUAGGCCACUCAGUUGCGAUAUGGUUGCUAUCGAGAAUGUGUUGGCGAACGCGACAGAUGAAAGGGGAAUAUGUCAGAUCAUAUGAGUCAGCAGAAUUGGAGAAGAAAUAGACCAGAUAGGAAUCGUACUCUAUAUCUAGUUGCAAAAUUAAAGCGUGAAUAAUAAGCCAUUGGCGAAUUUCAAUAGUCGUUUAAUCGUCAUAAGGUAUACCUAGUUUGCUAAUUUAAAUGCAGAGAUUAUGAUUAUUGUGAAUAUUGAAUUAUAGGUUGAAUUUCGCAACGAUACCUUGCAGGAUCGGAAUUAUUGUUUCUAUUAUAAAACCAUUUGGAAAACUUGCUGAAACGUAGCGAAUAAUUGUCGACCAGAAGUAGGAUUGAUAGGAAAGGUCACCGGAAUUGUAAGAAUCAAUCAUAUAACCGAAAUGUACAUAACUAAUUAUUCUGGUUUUUUAGCUUUAAAGCAACGACAAAUAAAGACUGAAUUGCUAAAAGAUCCGUGAAUCCCGUAUUCCUACUUCGACGUGA